RNAcentral lists this ribosomal RNA (550 nucleotides) under Saccharomycodes ludwigii. Its description in RNAcentral is "LSU rRNA". It matches the Rfam family "Eukaryotic large subunit ribosomal RNA", at positions 62 to 611 of the family's 3401-position model. The record is from RNAcentral. Lineage: Eukaryota; Fungi; Ascomycota; Saccharomycetes; Saccharomycodales; Saccharomycodaceae.
AAACCAACCGGGAUUGCCCUAGUAACGGCGAGUGAAGCGGCAAAAGCUCAAAUUUGAAAUCUGGCAUCUUUGAUGUCCGAGUUGUAAUUUGAAGAGGUUACUUUGGAGGCUGGCUCUUGUCUAUGUUCCUUGGAACAGGACGUCAUGGAGGGUGAGAAUCCCGUCUGGCGAGAGUUUCAGUUUUCAUGUAAAGUAGCAUUCGACGAGUCGAGUUGUUUGGGAAUGCAGCUCUAAGUGGGUGGUAAAUUCCAUCUAAAGCUAAAUAUUGGCGAGAGACCGAUAGCGAACAAGUACAGUGAUGGAAAGAUGAAAAGAACUUUGAAAAGAGAGUGAAAAAGUACGUGAAAUUGUUGAAAGGGAAGGGCAUUUGAUCAGACAUGGUGUUUCGUGCUUCUUGCUCCUUGUGGGCGGGGAGACUCACACGGUUCACUGGGCCAACAUCAGUUUUGGCAGCAGGAUAAAACUUUGGGAACGUAGCUUUCUUCGGGAAGUGUUAUAGCCCUUGGCAAUACUGCUAGCCGGGAUUGAGGACUGCGCAUAAAUGCAAGGA